CGGCCGCGGCCUUGGCCCUCCACCCGGGGAAUCUCGAGUUGCCAAACUCGCCGAGGCCGGCUGGCCUUGGGCUUCUGCUUAGGACGUGAGCGCAGGAUAGGGAUUUUAACAAUGCCGGGAAAGCGACAGCCGGACCCAGGAAAGCGCCUAAUAAUAGUCGCCAGCUCGAGCUCGGCUCAGCGCUUUUAAGGACAAUAUAAUAACGGCAACUGCAGCAACCAUAAUAGCCACCAUUUAUUGAGCGCUUUCUCGGUGCCAGGCACUUGCGUGUAGCGCUUUGCAGACAACAGUCUUCGGGGGUAAGUACUAUUAUUAUCCUCCCUGUUUUGCAGGACGCCUGGGGCACAGAAAGGUUAGGCGACCUGCCCCAGGUCACACAGCUAGCCGAUGGCCAGGCCAGAAUAACAGCCCAGGCUGCCCGGUCCUAGGAACUGAGGCCAGGAAGAUGACAACGCAGGAAGUCGGGAUUCUUUUCUCCAUCUUAAAUGAAGACGAGAAGACUCGAGCGCAUAGAGAUGAAGGCCCUUGCCCAAGGUCACCUGGCUAGAAAAUGGAAGUGGCAAAAGCGAACCCGGAGCUCCUCGCCGUCCGCAGAACCCGCGGUUCAGCACCCUGCCUCCCAAAACGUGUCGUCCCUGCAGAGAUUGGAGGGAGCUCCUGCAGCCUCGUUCCCAGGGUCUAUGGUCCCGACCCAUUCGUUCCCAGGACAACGCUGAGCAGUAGGCGUCACUCUUCCCAGCUGACACACGAGGUCACCGCACUGGGAAGCCGCCCAGCUGGGCCACCUGCGAGUGCUCCCCGCCACCCCGGGCUCGCCCAACAGAAGUAAGAGACAAAACUGUGAAAAUUACACAUGAAAAAAAAAGCCCCACUCCCCACCCCCCAAAAAAUCACUUUUAUUAAAGAGUGCUUAGUAAAAACACAUGUGAAUUGGGCGCUCCCUUAUCUCGUUCUAAGCGGCAACAUGAGACCCAACUAUCUAAAAAAUAAAUAUAUUUUUUAAAAAGAUAAACCCUAAAGCUCCAAUGAGAGGCAAGAAGGAAUGAGGCCUUUAAGCUUCGGCUUGGAAGAGAGCAUCCGAGAGGUCCACUCACUUUCGAUGUCUGGACUCCAAGGAAGGAAAGCCGGUUCUAGGAAAAUCUGAAAAACCCCAUAGAAAAAUAAAGAAUUCCCUUCUGUGGUUUUUACUUUCAGCCAGCCUUGCUUGGCUAUUUGUGUUUUAUUUGAAAAUGAGUGGCUCUCUCCACCCUUUCAGUUGGCACAUAAGUGGCCCCCAAAAAAAGAGGGGGGGAAAACCCGAAAGAAGGCCAUCUACAAACUUAAAAUGUGGUAGUAUUCUCAGGAAGGAGGGACUGACUUGAAAUGGAAAUGAGGAUUAAAUGAGGUGCCUUAAACAUUUCAAAGGCAGACUUUCCACAAGGAAUUUCCAUCAGAAGUCCCUUAGAACAGGAGCUUUGUCUGCGUCUGGACUCCAUAGAGUGUCUCCAGUCUGUGAGCAGCCACUCCAGGUGGGGAAAGAAUCAUGCUUUUCCUGUGUGUCUGCGUUGUCUAACCAUCUGGGCCACCACUUGGCUUAUGGCUUGAAAGUAUAGCUUCUGGGGGAUUUUCCAGCCAUACGCUCUCCCUCAGACGCCUUGCUUUUCCAGAAGUUUGCUCUGGGAAUUCAGUCAAGGUGAGGCAAUAGUUGAUGAUGUCACACCAAAACAAAACUCCACUGCCAUACAGUCACCUCUGACUCAUCGGAGCCCUAUGGGGCAGAUCAGAGCUGUCCCAUCAGGGUUAUAUCUAUGGGAACAGACUGCCUCAUCCUUCUCCCACGGAGCAGCGGCUGAGGGGGUGAAUGCCCAAGUGCUUAACCACUGUGUCCCUUGCUCUCACCAGGCUGGGUGAAAGAGAUUAACUGCCAAGGCUAAGGGGAGCUGCUGACACUUCUCAGGCCUGACCCAACUGCCCUAUGCCUUUCAACUGGUAGAAUUCCCCUAUCACCCAUCACAAAGGAGCACCACCUCCCGCACAACCCAUGGCCUCCUGUGCAUUCAUUUGACAAACACCCAGAGAGAACUCACACAGGGCCACACACCUCAUCCCAGGACCUCACCUUGCAAAUACUUCCUUGGCCGGCCCUCCAGGAGAAGGUCUGAGGCCUGAUACUAAGGCUUGGCUGCCCACCGAAAGGUCAGCGGUUUGAACCCACG
Echinops telfairi (small Madagascar hedgehog) is the source of this 2195-nucleotide long non-coding RNA. RefSeq lists it as uncharacterized. The record is from RefSeq and is a predicted model, not a curated record. The transcript has 3 exons. Lineage: Eukaryota; Metazoa; Chordata; Mammalia; Afrosoricida; Tenrecidae.